UACGUAGGGUGCAAGCGUUAUCCGGAAUUAUUGGGCGUAAAGAGCUCGUAGGCGGUUUGUCGCGUCUGCUGUGAAAACUGGAGGCUCAACCUCCAGCCUGCAGUGGGUACGGGCAGACUAGAGUGCGGUAGGGGAGAUUGGAAUUCCUGGUGUAGCGGUGGAGUGCGCAGAUAUCAGGAGGAACACCGAUGGCGAAGGCAGAUCUCUGGGCCGUAACUGACGCUGAGGAGCGAAAGCAUGGGGAGCGAACAGG
RNAcentral lists this ribosomal RNA (253 nucleotides) under uncultured bacterium. Its description in RNAcentral is "partial 16S ribosomal RNA". It matches the Rfam family "Bacterial small subunit ribosomal RNA", at positions 524 to 776 of the family's 1533-position model. The record is from RNAcentral.